GAAUAUUGGACAAUGGGCGCAAGCCUGAUCCAGCAAUGCCGCGUGAGUGAAAAAGGCCUUAGGGUUGUAAAGCUCUUUCACCCGUGACGAUGAUGACGGUAGCGGGAGAAGAAGCCCCGGCUAAUUCCGUGCCAGCAGCCGCGGUAAUCCGGAAGGGGCUAGCGUUGUUCGGAUUUACUGGGCGUAAAGCGCGCGUAGGCGGCGGACCGAGUUAGGCGUGAAAGCCCUGGGCUCAACCCGGGAAUGGCGCUUAAGACUGGUUUGCUUGAGUCCGGGAGAGGGUGGUGGAACUCCCAGUGUAGAGGUGAAAUUCGUAGAUAUUGGGAAGAACACCGGUGGCGAAGGCGGCCACCUGGACCGGUACUGACGCUGAGGUGCGAAAGCGUGGGGAGCAAACAGG
Molecule: ribosomal RNA, 400 nt
Filed under: uncultured bacterium
Lineage: Bacteria
Description: bacterial SSU rRNA
Rfam family: Bacterial small subunit ribosomal RNA
Source: RNAcentral